UCUCCGUUGGUGAACCAGCGGAGGGAUCAUUACUGAGUUCCAGCAACUCCCAACCCUUUCGAAACGUACCCCCUUCUGUUUUCGUUGGUUCCGGCAGGCGGGGGGGGCCACCUGGCCCCUCCCGCUGCCGGGGGGGGCGGGCCCACUCAACCUUUAUAUAUCGACCACCGAAACCCGACAGAGCCAAACAAAACAUAACCAAAAACUACAACACCGGUUCCCUUGGCUCUGGCAUCGAUGAAGAAAGCACCGGAGCGGAAGCGAAUAAGUUCGAACCCC
RNAcentral lists this unclassified non-coding RNA (279 nucleotides) under plant metagenome. Its description in RNAcentral is "partial contains small subunit ribosomal RNA, internal transcribed spacer 1, and 5.8S ribosomal RNA". The record is from RNAcentral.